AACAAAACGCCUUACAUUGAAACGAAAUCGCUCAUUACGUCGAAUUAUUUUAUUUUAUCCUUCCAAUCAUGUGUUGGGGAAAGUUUACUGCGACAAUAUGGCCCGAACAGCGAUUAUUCUAACUCUCUCUUUCGCCUGGGACAUAUAGCUACGCUUCAGGAAUUUAUACGCUGAGCACGUUGACAUUAGAAUGGAGAAUUGCCAGCUUAGAAAAUUCUGUAAGCGUUCAUGGGCAAGAUUUGGACACAAAUUGACGACAUGAUGCGGUUCUGACACUAUACUGGGAACGGAAAAGUUAAUAUACAACGUUGUCUAUUAACCUGACUUCGCUUGCAAGAACUGGAUUUUUAAGCAAAGUUUCCAUAUAUAUUUCUACUACAGUAUUGGGUAUGGUCACUUGUGGCAAUUUGGUAUUUAGACAUGGUUUUAUUGGCUGUGUUUUGGUUGAAAGUAUGUUUAUGACCAUGAGUGAAAUUCAAAAUGUGUCUGCUUUGGAAAUACGUCCUUCUGUUGAAAAUAUGCAGGCGGUCAGGUAAGAGCGUGCUUUUCAUUUCUAUUGUAAGUUAAAAUUAAUUUUGAUGUUACAUGGUAGUGUCACAAUAAUUUGCGACCGUGCAUUUUUCAGUAUAUAACCUGAGGUCGAAUUUCCGAGUCAGUUUCUUUAAGCUAACUCAAGCCAAUUUUUUUAUUCCAGAGAAAUGGACGUUUUUAUGCACCACAUUAUAAUUAUGUGCAAUUUUUUCAAAGUAUUCGAUGGGUUUCUUCGCAUAAUUGACAAAAAUUCCGUCGAAAUUAAAUUUAAACCCAACAAAUUAAAUUCAAUGCAAAUUCAACGUCUAAAACAGCCAUGGCCCUAUCUGUUUUGGAAAACAAUGCUUUCAGUAGCAAAACUGGAUCAAUAAGGGACUUACUGGACCUCUUGGGAGAACAGUUCAAAAUUCAUUGAAUAAUCUAGUAUCAGGAAGGUUAGUUUAGCUUUCCUCCUGUAGUAACUCUGGACUGACUCAAUAAAUCUGGCCCUAACUGCACAUUUAGCGAGAACAGUUUAAACAACGACAAUUUAUUUAAACAUAACACGUGCUGAAUUGUGAUUGGAAGUUUGUGUGACGUAUAUUUCCGUGCUUUUUUCCUGCAGUAGAUCAUGGCUCUCGACCAAUGGAAGGAUAUGAUUGGACAAGACUGCCAAGAAAGGUAUGUCUGUUUACGCGCACAUACACGUUGUCCACAAUAAAUUUUGGCAG
Non-coding RNA from Paramuricea clavata, 1241 nucleotides. The record is from the annotation of a GenBank genome assembly. NCBI's taxonomy places the organism in Eukaryota, Metazoa, Cnidaria, Anthozoa, Malacalcyonacea, Plexauridae.